This is a long non-coding RNA of Helianthus annuus (common sunflower), 869 nucleotides long. RefSeq lists it as uncharacterized. Lineage: Eukaryota; Viridiplantae; Streptophyta; Magnoliopsida; Asterales; Asteraceae. The record is from RefSeq and is a predicted model, not a curated record. The transcript has 2 exons.
UUCAAACCCUCUUUCUCUCUAUUUUAUUUUAAAUCUAGAAUUUUUAUACAAUGCAACCCUUCAACCGCGGUUUUAUUCAUCCCCGUUCGAGUGCGGACCCGAACCAAAGUAGCAAAUCCUACCCGCCUCGUGUCUCCGGUUCCCACUCGACCCACCCCUUUCGGAUCCGGUUUUGUCGAUUUUAAUCAACAUAAUACCGGGUUCAUGAACCUUUUGAACCAACCACUCUCAUGGGCCCCGAAUCUAUACGGUUGGAACCCGAAUCAAACAUGGAUGGAAUGGGGUCAUCUCAAGCAUUCGGAUCAGCACAAGCAUUCGGCUCCCCACUACACGAGCUCGAGGUUGUUCCGGAAACACAACCGGAAGUAGAGGAGACGCAAAAAGGAAAAACAAAACGCCCACAUAAAAAGAAAACGAAAACCACCCGAGCAAAAAAAAAUGUAAUACCAUGGAAUAUCAUAUCGAAGAGGAGUAUGCGCUAACCCGAGCUUGGAUCGACGUGUCAGAGGACCCCGUAAUAGCAAACAAUCAAAGUAAAACCCUUUUUGGAACCGAAUUCGAGAACUUUUUUUUUGGGGCUCAUCGGUAGAGGAGACGAAUACCGGCCGGCGGACUCGAUAUCGGGCAAGUGGACCAACAUCAAAAAGAAGUGCACGAAUUUUCAAACCGUUUACCAACGCAAUUUUGCCGGAUGGAAAAGUUGAAGCGAGGACGAGGACAUUACACAAGCGGCCUUAAUCGAAUAUACACAAAGUCAAGGCAAUUUCCCGUACUUAAAGCGUUGACAAAUUUUUCGGAAUAGCCCCAAAUGGGCCAACAUCCCUACGACUACCGGUCGGUCGGCAAAUAAAAGGCCGUUAAAGAGAUAA